Molecule: ribosomal RNA, 476 nt
Filed under: uncultured bacterium
Lineage: Bacteria
Description: partial 16S ribosomal RNA
Rfam family: Bacterial small subunit ribosomal RNA
Source: RNAcentral
GAUGAACGCUGGCGGCGUGCUUAACACAUGCAAGUCGAGCGAGUGAGUUCUUCGGAACAAUCUAGCGGCGGACGGGUGAGUAACACGUGGGCAACCUGCCUCAUAGAGGGGAAUAGCCUCCCGAAAGGGAGAUUAAUACCGAAUAAAAUUAUCGAGUGGCAUCACAUGAUAAUCAAAGGAGUAAUCCGCUAUGAGAUGGGCCCGCGGCGCAUUAGCUAGUUGGUGAGGUAACGGCUCACCAAGGCGACGAUGCGUAGCCGACCUGAGAGGGUGAUCGGCCACAUUGGGACUGAGACACGGCCCAGACUCCUACGGGAGGCAGCAGUGGGGAAUAUUGCACAAUGGGGGAAACCCUGAUGCAGCAACGCCGCGUGAGUGAUGAAGGUCUUCGGAUUGUAAAGCUCUGUCUUUGGGGACGAUAAUGACGGUACCCAAGGAGGAAGCCACGGCUAACUACGUGCCAGCAGCCGCCGCAG